This 429-nucleotide ribosomal RNA is filed under the name uncultured bacterium. Its description in RNAcentral is "bacterial SSU rRNA". It matches the Rfam family "Bacterial small subunit ribosomal RNA", at positions 355 to 776 of the family's 1533-position model. The record is from RNAcentral.
UGGGGAAUAUUGGACAAUGGGCGCAAGCCUGAUCCAGCAAUGCCGCGUGUGUGAAGAAGGCCUGCGGGUUGUAAAGCACUUUCAGUGGGGAGGAAGGCCUCAGUGUUAAUAGUACUGAGGAUUGACGUUACCCAAAGAAGAAGCACCGGCUAACUCUGUGCCAGCAGCCGCGGUAAUACAGAGGGUGCGAGCGUUAAUCGGAAUUACUGGGCGUAAAGGGCGCGUAGGUGGUUAAUUAAGUCAGAUGUGAAAUCCCUGGGCUUAACCUAGGAAUGGCAUAUGAAACUGAUUAGCUAGAGGACGGGAGAGGGAAGUGGAAUUUCCGGUGUAGCGGUGAAAUGCGUAGAUAUCGGAAGGAACACCAGUGGCGAAGGCGACUUCCUGGCCCGUAACUGACACUGAGGCGCGAAAGCGUGGGGAGCGAACAGG